CGACCUCAGAGUAGGU
Molecule: ribosomal RNA, 16 nt
Filed under: Oreina speciosa
Lineage: Eukaryota; Metazoa; Arthropoda; Insecta; Coleoptera; Chrysomelidae
Also listed under: 1 other name
Description: partial 28S ribosomal RNA
Source: RNAcentral